Molecule: ribosomal RNA, 466 nt
Filed under: uncultured bacterium
Lineage: Bacteria
Description: bacterial SSU rRNA
Rfam family: Bacterial small subunit ribosomal RNA
Source: RNAcentral
GACGAACGCUGGGCGGCGUGCUUAAAACAUGCAAGUCGAACGGACUUCUCAUGAAGCUUGCGAUUGAGAAGUUAGUGGCGGACGGGUGAGUAACGCGUGGGCAACCUGCCCCUGAGCCCGGGAUAACAGUUCGAAAGGACUGCUAAGACCGGAUAUACUUGCGGGGAAGCAUUUCACUGCAAGGAAAGGGAACGCUCAGGGAUGGGCCCGCGUCCCAUUAGCUAGUUGGUGAGGUAACGGCCCACCAAGGCGACGAUGGGUAGCCGGCCUGAGAGGGUGAACGGCCACACUGGGACUGAGACACGGCCCAGACUCCUACGGGAGGCAGCAGUUGGGAAUCUUCGGCAAUGGGCGCAAGCCUGACCGAGCAACGCCGCGUGAGUGAUGAAGGUUUUCGGAUUGUAAAGCUCUGUCUUCCGGGACGAUAAUGACGGUACCGGAGGAGGAAGCCACGGCUAACUACGUG